CCUGACCUCCUGCCUCCUACCUCCCCAUUUAUCUUCUUCCUACCCUCCUCUCUCUCUCUCUCUCUCUCUGUCUCAAGGAACCACUUCCUCGCCUACCUCCUCUUCUUUCACCCAUGUUUGAGUUUGGGGACGACCUUACAAUAGAAGGGUAUCGAGUCUCAUGGCUAAUAUGGAUCCAAGUACUGGUCUUGCUCCUCCUCGUCUUGCUCCUUUUUUGUUUCAGCUUCUUUACUGCAGAUCUCACAGACACCACCACUACUUCCUCCUCCGCCUCACCAUCCACUCUUGGUGUUUUCACGCCCCUUCAUUGCCAUUUGGACAACCAAAUCCUCAGGCAUAAUGAUCAUGUCUCAAACCGCCUGCAACACAGCCAGGCACAGCAGAACCAAAGCAUAAAAGGGGAAAUAACAACAAACACGGGUAGAAGAAUAGUUAGUGAAGACAACAUCGGAAAUUCUUCUGACUUCUUCUGUUUCCAUCCCUGCAACUAUUUUAGGCUUGCGAAACUUGCAUUUCUCAAGUGUUUCGGCUUGGACUUCUUGUCGGAUAAUUCUUAAAACUCAGAGCAGAAAAAAGAAAGAUGACGUAUGUUAUUGUGUUUCUCUUUAACCUAUCACUUUGAGUUCAUCUAUCCAGCUUUUCGGAAGUUGUUGUGCAGGAGACGAACCUCCCCGGAGGGAAAGUUGUACAGGAAAUUCUCCACUACAGUUUUUAAAGCAAAGGUUGAACUUAGAACCAUUGAUCCCAGGGAAUGGAGAUCAGGUUGCAGGUUGUUCUUCUGGUGUAUGCUGGUAAAAUCAUGGAAGGUGAGACCGCUGUGUUUUCAGGCUGUUUCAAUCAGCAGAUUAGAGGCUGAAAUAUGUGGCCGUGAAAAUGUUGAUUGGAGCAAAGCUGAUUACCCAGUAACUUACAUGUGUUUUGACACUGAUCUUGCAAUUGUGUUAGAAGGGUAAACUGCAUUCUUUGUCUCUAAUGAACUGCAUUGUUAGGCUGUGAGCAGUUCAAUAAACUCUGCAGCGUAUUUCCCUUUAGAACAGUUUAGAAUAGAAUGAUGAAGCUCCUGUAACAACUUUCAAGGCCAAGGCCUUAUAAAAAAUUAAAAAACUUGAUUUUACGGUA
This is a long non-coding RNA of Populus euphratica (Euphrates poplar), 1119 nucleotides long. RefSeq lists it as uncharacterized. Lineage: Eukaryota; Viridiplantae; Streptophyta; Magnoliopsida; Malpighiales; Salicaceae. The transcript has 2 exons. The record is from RefSeq and is a predicted model, not a curated record.